UCUUUAGAACUGUUCAACUCAUACCUGUUAAAGGGAAGGGAAAAAAAUAUCAUCAUUAAAUUGGUGUUCUCUAAGCAAAAAUGUGAAAGGAUGAGCCAACAUUUAUCAAGUAUUAAGUACUUAAAAUAGAUUCAUCAUCAAGCUUCCACAAAACACGAAUUGCAACUAAUCUGCUGAUAUGGAUGGCAUGAUAAUGCGUGUGUGCAAAUCCAUGUUAUACAGUGUAGAAAUCUAACCAUCAAACAUAUCAUUGAGAAUAACAGAGCUAAUUAGGAUAAACCAAUAGAUAGGAUAAUCCUUCCAAAUGCCAAAACAUAACAAUAAAAAUUUCUAGGAAUAAAACAAGGUAAAACAUGCUUACACUCCAAGGAGGAACGGCCAG
This 382-nucleotide unclassified non-coding RNA is filed under the name Hevea brasiliensis (rubber tree). The record is from RNAcentral. Lineage: Eukaryota; Viridiplantae; Streptophyta; Magnoliopsida; Malpighiales; Euphorbiaceae.